Molecule: long non-coding RNA, 331 nt
Filed under: Ananas comosus (pineapple)
Lineage: Eukaryota; Viridiplantae; Streptophyta; Magnoliopsida; Poales; Bromeliaceae
Description: long non-coding RNA (ACOM_LNC038929)
Source: RNAcentral
GGAUCGAGUGGCAUUCGAUAAAGUUAAAGUGAAAUGACACUAGAGAUAGUAUGAGGUAAAGAACCAAUGUAACGUAAAGAAUGAUGAAAAUGACAAUGUUUAAAGUUAAAGUAAUGUGGGGAGUAAAGAACGUGAAGUGCUAGAGGUAGCCAAAAGUAAAGAAUGUAAAGAAUAUAAUUGCUAGAGUUAGCAAGAGUAAUGAAUGCUAAAGAACAAUGAUUGCUAGAGUGGCAACAAAAAGUGAUGAAAGAACACUAGAGGUAGUGUAAAGUCAAGAUUGAACUUAUAAAUCCCUUGAGUUAAGGAUAUGAUCAUACUUGCUAUGAGUUCC